AAUAAUUAUGAUUGUCUUGGGACUGAUCUUGUUUCCCUGAAUGCAGGAGAAGCCCCAUUUCAGUGGCAGCAGCUGUUAUUUACAUGAUUACUCAGCUCUCAGAUGAUAAGAAGCUUCUUAGAGAUAUUUCGCUCGCAACUGGAGUAGCGGAGGGAACCAUAAGGAAUUCCUAUAAAGAUCUUUAUCCAUUUGCUUCCAGGUUGAUACCAAACUGGUAUGCGAAGGAGGAGGACCUCAGGAACCUCUGUAGCCCUUGAAGUAGUCUGACGAUUAAUAUCAGCACUAGUUAUAAUAAUCUUAAUAGUAAUACAAAAACUCAUGAUGUUUUGGACUAUUCAUGUAGCUAAAUUUGAGAGUUACCAUGACUUCAAAUUUUUUUUGUUAGUUGUUUUCUUUCUAUUCAGCUUGCUGUGGUGAGCCUACAUUCUCGAAUGUUCAAGGAGUUCAACUACACCAAAUCUUUAUCA
Molecule: long non-coding RNA, 467 nt
Organism: Macadamia integrifolia
Lineage: Eukaryota; Viridiplantae; Streptophyta; Magnoliopsida; Proteales; Proteaceae
Exons: 2
Source: RefSeq, a predicted model, not a curated record